RNAcentral lists this long non-coding RNA (992 nucleotides) under Homo sapiens (human). RNAcentral describes it as "HSALNT0264195". The record is from RNAcentral. Lineage: Eukaryota; Metazoa; Chordata; Mammalia; Primates; Hominidae.
GCAUUGCCUUUCCUUGAUCUUCAUGUAUGUGGAAUCAUAAGUAGUGACAUGCUGCUUUGAAAUAAAGGACAUUUGAAAAUAGAAACAUGGACCUAUGAAGAUAUAAAUCGGAUGAAGAUUCUGAAGUGCCCUGAUGUUACUAUUUAUGUCUGCUUAGAUAUUCCAACUAAAUGGAAGGUCACUGGGAGGGGAUUUGGUCAACUCUGUAGAUAUAUGAGAAGCAUCUUCCAAAUGAAUUCUUGUGACAAAAUUAAUUUAACCCACAGACUAUACUGUGAUUUCCUUCUUCUUCUUACUUCUAUAUUUUGGCGUUAAGCUUCAUUUUGGUGAGGAUGGAUAUAAUAACACCAAAGAAUUAAAUCUUUCUGUGUAAAUUUGGGAUGGUUGGUUCCCUCUGCCCAGAUAUUUUUUAUGCCUAAAGUAUAGUAAUACUCUAAUAGAGAAAUGAAGAAAUGGAGAAAAAUAUACAAACAUGAAACUAUGACACAAACAGUAUUCAAAAGGGAUGACAGUGAAACAUUAUCAGCACUGGAAAUUAAAUACUUCCAAGUUCGGUAAAUAGUAGCAAAUGAUUCUCUGUGCUUGUCCCCCUUUAGCUUCUGAAGAAAGUAUUGACCACGGUGUAGAAGGAAGAAUCAUAGGACAUUACAAGACUAUUCCAACAGCUAAGUUCUUAUAUGAGUUGGGUGACCAUUCAUUCUCAUUUGUCUGAGGCAAUUCCAGUUUAUGCCUGUAGUCCUAGAUAUUAUAAACAGAGCUGCCUUUCACUCUCAAAACUAUCCUGGUAUGGACAAUAAAUUAUAUGACCACCUUACUUAUGAGGAGUGAUUAGGGUCUUUGGCAGAUGGGACUUAGCAGAGAGCAUGACAAGAGUCAUCGUGUAAGGUUUCUACAUGCACAGCACAGCUCCAUCAUUAAAAACCACCAACCAACUUUCAGCGAGCGCUUUAAAAAUUAAUUGGAGUCAUAUUAACAUUUGUGAGUGACCUGAC